This 468-nucleotide ribosomal RNA is filed under the name uncultured bacterium. Its description in RNAcentral is "partial 16S ribosomal RNA". It matches the Rfam family "Bacterial small subunit ribosomal RNA", at positions 28 to 507 of the family's 1533-position model. The record is from RNAcentral.
GACGAACGCUGGCGGCGUGCUUAACACAUGCAAGUCGAACGGAAAGGCCCUGCUUUUGUGGGGUGCUCGAGUGGCGAACGGGUGAGUAACACGUGAGUAACCUGCCCUUGACUUUGGGAUAACUUCAGGAAACUGGGGCUAAUACCGGAUAGGAGCUCCUGCUGCAUGGUGGGGGUUGGAAAGUUUCGGCGGUUGGGGAUGGACUCGCGGCUUAUCAGCUUGUUGGUGGGGUAGUGGCUUACCAAGGCUUUGACGGGUAGCCGGCCUGAGGGGGUGACCGGCGACAUUGGGCAUGAGAUACGGCCCAGCCUCCUACGGGAGACAGCGGGGGGGAAUAUUGCACAAGGGGCGGAAGCCGGAUCCAGCACCGCCGCGUGCGGGAUGACGGCCUUCGGGUUGUAAACCGUUUUCGCCUGUGACGAAGGGGGAGUGAGGUUAGGGGGUAAAGAAGCACCGGCUAACUACGUG